AUACGUAGGGUGCGAGCGUUGUCCGGAAUUACUGGGCGUAAAGAGCUCGUAGGUGGUUUGUCGCGUCGUCUGUGAAAUUCCGGGGCUUAACUCCGGGCGUGCAGGCGAUACGGGCAUAACUUGAGUACUGUAGGGGAGACUGGAAUUCCUGGUGUAGCGGUGAAAUACGCAGAUAUCAGGAGGAACACCGGUGGCGAAGGCGGGUCUCUGGGCAGUAACUGACGCUGAGGAGCGAAAGCAUGGGUAGCGAACAGGAUUAGAUACCCUGGUAGUCCAUGCCGUAAACGGUGGGCGCUAGGUGUAGGGGUCUUCCACGACUUCUGUGCCGUAGCUAACGCAUUAAGCGCCCCGCCUGGGGAGUACGGCCGCAAGGCUAAAACUCAAAGGAAUUGACGGGG
RNAcentral lists this ribosomal RNA (398 nucleotides) under uncultured bacterium. RNAcentral describes it as "partial 16S ribosomal RNA". It matches the Rfam family "Bacterial small subunit ribosomal RNA", at positions 523 to 918 of the family's 1533-position model. The record is from RNAcentral.